UAAUAAGAAGCGAAAAAUUGCAACCAAUUUCGACUUGGUAUUUGAUAUAAUAUAUCCUUAUUAG
This 64-nucleotide transfer RNA is filed under the name Comicus campestris. RNAcentral's name for it is "tRNA-Arg". Lineage: Eukaryota; Metazoa; Arthropoda; Insecta; Orthoptera; Schizodactylidae. The record is from RNAcentral.